UCAAAAUGUAGCUUAACAAAAGCAUUUGGCCUACACCCAAAAGAUUUCAUCAUUUGACCAUUUUGA
This 66-nucleotide transfer RNA is filed under the name Micropotamogale lamottei (Nimba otter shrew). RNAcentral describes it as "tRNA-Val". It matches the Rfam family "tRNA". From Rfam's summary of the family: Transfer RNA (tRNA) molecules are approximately 80 nucleotides in length. Their secondary structure includes four short double-helical elements and three loops (D, anti-codon, and T loops). Lineage: Eukaryota; Metazoa; Chordata; Mammalia; Afrosoricida; Tenrecidae. The record is from RNAcentral.